This is a long non-coding RNA of Erpetoichthys calabaricus (reedfish), 544 nucleotides long. RefSeq lists it as uncharacterized. The record is from RefSeq and is a predicted model, not a curated record. The transcript has 2 exons. Lineage: Eukaryota; Metazoa; Chordata; Cladistia; Polypteriformes; Polypteridae.
GGCAUUUUAGGUAGAAUGCCCAGAGGGGACUGGGCGGUCUCGUGGCCUGGAACCCCUACAGAUUUUAUUUUUUUCUCCAGCUUUCUGGAGUUUUUUUUUUUUUUUCUGUUCACCCUGGCAAUCGGACCUUACUCCUUUUCUAUGUUAACUAAUGUUGUCUUAUUUUAAUUUCUUAUUUUGUCUUUUAUUUUUCUUUUCUUCAUUAUGUAAAGCACUUUGAGCUAUUUUUUGUAUGAAAAUGUGCUAUAUAAAUAAAUGUUGUUGUUAAUCCGAGUACAGCAUAAAGCCAAUGAAACUUCUGGGCUAUUGAUCUGGUCAGUUAAGUAGCAGAGGGGGUUGUUAAUCAGUUUCAGCUGCUUUGGUGUUAAUGAAAUGAACAACAGGUGCACUAGAGGGGCAACAAUGAGACGACCCCCAAAACAGGAAUGGUUUAACAGGUGGAGGCCACUGACAUUUUUCCCUCCUCAUCUUUUCUGACUGUUUCUUCACUAGUUUUGCAUUUGGCUACAGUCAGUGUCACUACUGGUAGCAUGAGGCAAUACCU